RNAcentral lists this transfer RNA (75 nucleotides) under Verrucomicrobiia bacterium. RNAcentral describes it as "tRNA-OTHER". The stretch from base 8 to 70 matches the Rfam family "tRNA". From Rfam's summary of the family: Transfer RNA (tRNA) molecules are approximately 80 nucleotides in length. Their secondary structure includes four short double-helical elements and three loops (D, anti-codon, and T loops). RNAcentral also lists the same sequence under 1 other name. Lineage: Bacteria; Pseudomonadati; Verrucomicrobiota; Verrucomicrobiia. The record is from RNAcentral.
GGGUUCCUUCGUAGCUCAUCAGGUAGAGCAACCGCUACCGCGGUUGGCAGCCGGUUCGAUUCCGGCCGAAAUCCA